GGCCCCGCACAAGCGGUGGAGUAUGUGGUUUAAUUCGAUGCAACGCGAAGAACCUUACCAGGGUUUGACAUCCUGCGAAUCUCUUGGAAACUUGAGAGUGCCUUCGGGAGCGCAGUGACAGGUGGUGCAUGGCUGUCGUCAGCUCGUGUCGUGAGAUGUUGGGUUAAGUCCCGCAACGAGCGCAACCCACGUCUUUAGUUGCCAGCAUUUAGUUGGGCACUCUAGAGAGACCGCCGGUGAUAAACCGGAGGAAGGUGUGGAUGACGUCAAGUCAUCAUGCCCCUUACAUCCUGGGCUACACACGUACUACAAUGGUCGGUACAGAGGGCAGCCACACCGCAAGGUGGAGCG
This 351-nucleotide ribosomal RNA is filed under the name uncultured bacterium. RNAcentral's name for it is "bacterial SSU rRNA". It matches the Rfam family "Bacterial small subunit ribosomal RNA", at positions 917 to 1269 of the family's 1533-position model. The record is from RNAcentral.